UUAGGCAACAAAAACACGGAAAAUACGCAGGAGCCGCCCUCAUCGUUGAAGACAGAUAAAAAAUCUAGGCGGAGAAAACUACGCUCAAGGUGCUCAUUUAGACCAGAGAAAGGAAACUGCGCAGGCUCUCAUUCACUUCUCAGGUGGUGGUAUAACCCAGACAGCGGAGUAUGCGAAUCAUUUAAGUUUCCUGUAUGCAACAGCAAACUUGGACCAUUUCUGACAUGCCAGGUGUGCAUGACGGCGUGCUUAAAAAAUAAACCUCGCGCAGAAAAAACAAGAUUGACCAAGAAAGUCUGUCUCACGAAGCAUUGAAAAUGAAGUCCAGAAGACCAUAGUUUGAACUUCUACGUGUUUCAGCUUGUACUGUUCGAAGAUAACGUCAUACAAAUAAUAUAAUAAAUCAACAAAUUUUUUGCUUG
Dermacentor silvarum is the source of this 422-nucleotide long non-coding RNA. RefSeq lists it as uncharacterized. NCBI's taxonomy places the organism in Eukaryota, Metazoa, Arthropoda, Arachnida, Ixodida, Ixodidae. The transcript is spliced from 3 exons. The record is from RefSeq and is a predicted model, not a curated record.